Molecule: ribosomal RNA, 496 nt
Filed under: uncultured bacterium
Lineage: Bacteria
Description: partial 16S ribosomal RNA
Rfam family: Bacterial small subunit ribosomal RNA
Source: RNAcentral
GAUGAACGCUGGCGGCGUGCCUAACACAUGCAAGUCGAGCGAACAGACGAGGAGCUUGCUCCUCUGACGUUAGCGGCGGACGGGUGAGUAACACGUGGAUAACCUACCUAUAAGACUGGGAUAACUUCGGGAAACCGGAGCUAAUACCGGAUAAUAUAUUGAACCGCAUGGUUCAAUAGUGAAAGACGGUUUUGCUGUCACUUAUAGAUGGAUCCGCGCCGCAUUAGCUAGUUGGUAAGGUAACGGCUUACCAAGGCAACGAUGCGUAGCCGACCUGAGAGGGUGAUCGGCCACACUGGAACUGAGACACGGUCCAGACUCCUACGGGAGGCAGCAGUAGGGAAUCUGCCGCAAUGGGCGAAAGCCUGACGGAGCAACGCCGCGUGAGUGAUGAAGGUCUUCGGAUCGUAAAACUCUGUUAUUAGGGAAGAACAAAUGUGUAAGUAACUAUGCACGUCUGGACGGUACCUAAUCAGAAAGCCACGGCUAACUACGG